GCGCAUAUAAAGGGGGUGGGAGCAAAGAAGAUGCUCUGUUGUGUGUAUUACACAGAAUACACUGUCCUCCAAACCACAUAAAAUGAAACAUGUUUAUCGAUGUUACACAUGCAUUAAAAACUGUAAGACUGCAAAGGUCAGUGCAUAGGUUGUCAUAGCUAAAGGUAAACAGCAAAAUCAUCAGAUGAGUUGAGUCCUUGAUCAACAGAUGGCAGUUAGCGGUGACUGUACUGAGGACGUAAAAGAAUACAAGUACUUAGGGACAGUGACUGAAGAAAAACUGGCAGGAUUCAAAAGCUAGAUUACAAUGAUUAUACUUCAAGAGGAGUUUGAGACAGACAUACGCUGGUUCUUUUUUUCUUUUUCUUUUUUGUUUGUUUUUUUGCAGAGAGCAUUCUAACUUCUUGUUUUAUUGCAUGGUAUUUUUCACUGUCUGUAGUUAACAAGAACAAACUGAGUAGGAUUACAAACAUGGACAGAAAGAUUUGAGGUCAGCUACAACACAGUACGAUUCACCUUUGGGAGUCCUGAGUGGUGAAUAAGGGGUGAUGUAUCCUUAGCAAUGUGUCACACCUUCUUCAUCGUGAAGACACCUUGCUAACAUCAUGACAGAAGUACAGGGUACCACUUUUGUAUGUAUUGUGUGCCCAGAGGACUUUUAUACCUUGUAAAUGGACUGGUUCUUAUAGCGCUUUUUUACUCUAUCUGAGCAACUUGUACAUUCACACAAGCACUUUUUUCUAUGCUGUUCCUAAGUGCUUCAUAUCAGACAUUCACACCUCCAAUAGAUGCAUCAGAGAGCACCAUGAUGUUAGUAUUUGCCCAAGGAUAUUUGGCAUGGAGCAGACUGGGAUCGAACCACCAACCUUCCGGUUAGUAGUUUACCUGAGCCACCUUAGUUACAACCAUCCCAAGGUAACACAGCUGAUAUUAUAUGGGUGUGAUUUGCACACAGCUGUGGUUUGUUUUUACUAUUACUUAUUGUUAAUACCUUGAAUUUCUGUAACUGUGGAGUCUUAAUUGUUGUGGUUGUAUUUGCCUGGCCUGGAUUUUUGGUGUCCAAAAGGCAAACUACUUUUCUGAAGAAGAUAUUGAAUCUGCACACUUGUGAUGAAAUUGCUUAUAGUGCAAUAAUACAUCCUUAUGUCUUCCUUUGUGUCCCACUUUUAUUUUUUAUUUUUUGGAGUUUUGCAUUUUUCUAUGAAUUUUCUGAAAGAAGUGCAUUAGAAAUUGUUGUUGUUUUAAUGGUUAGUAAC
Astatotilapia calliptera (eastern happy) is the source of this 1256-nucleotide long non-coding RNA. Lineage: Eukaryota; Metazoa; Chordata; Actinopteri; Cichliformes; Cichlidae. The record is from Ensembl.